UGCAAGUCUUACAUGAUCUGCUUCUGCUUUU
RNAcentral lists this non-coding RNA (31 nucleotides) under Mus musculus (house mouse). Lineage: Eukaryota; Metazoa; Chordata; Mammalia; Rodentia; Muridae. The record is from RNAcentral.